UAUUAUACGUAUACUGUCACAUUAAUGAACUUCAGUAAGUAUGACGUCAUAAGGUUUCCGAGUCCAGACUGGAAGGUUUUGAAACACAAAACAGAACCACAAGACAAAAUGUGAAGACUAAACUUAAAGCACAGAAGAGAUUUUUAGAUACAUUUUACUAAUAUCACAUUUUAAUCUUUUCGCAUCAUCAUACCCCAGCAAUUUAAAAAAGCUUUAGGCCCUCCACUUGCUGUCUAUGUACACCCAGUUACAAUUAUGUCCAUUAGUUGCCUUAGCAACGGAGGCAGAGGUUAAGUCAUUUUCUAGAAGAGGCCCAGUGCAAAUUAUGGCAUUAUACCAACUUAUUGCCAAUCGUUUUAAUUAAAACAUUUCGCUUUCAACUCAGCUAACAGCAGAGAUCAGUAAACAGGGCAGAUCAAAUUACUGAUAUUUAAACUCCCCUGCCUUUGGAAAGGCCCGCUAAAGCUUAAUUACUCUUGGGCAGGACUGAUGAAGCGAGAGCAAGGAACCGCAACCAUUCAGGUCUGCGAUGCUGCACCCAGGCCCAGAACCAGCUCACUGCAACAAGCUAAGGUCUACAAAGAUGCCACCCUGGAAGAUGCCCACCUAGUGAACCUGCAUGGCACAGGCACAGACAGCAAGAUGGCAUUGACCCUUCAACAAAUGCAGUUGUUAGGUAAUAAAGACAUCUGCUGCUAAUGCUAAUGGACCACCUGCCAACAAGAAAUUGUGGUAAACCAUGCAACAAAUGAUACAAGAAGCCAUCCUGAACAUCACUGAAACUCUCCACUAAACAUAAAUCCUUUCACAUACCGAUCAGGUGCAACAAUGAGCCAUUAAUUCAUUUACAGUUUCUUCCCUGAAUACCUGCAUACAUCUAUUGCUUACUUCUCCUUACUGCCCCUUUGGGAGCAAUGCCUGUUAAUUGAAAUGGCCCCCCUUUGUAACAGUCAGCAGCUGCUUUGAUUACUGUAUUCCAAUAAAUAAUACAGCUGUAUUAAUUCA
Molecule: long non-coding RNA, 1005 nt
Filed under: Anser brachyrhynchus (Pink-footed goose)
Lineage: Eukaryota; Metazoa; Chordata; Aves; Anseriformes; Anatidae
Description: lncRNA (ENSABRG00000002014.1)
Source: RNAcentral